Molecule: long non-coding RNA, 949 nt
Organism: Caretta caretta (loggerhead turtle)
Lineage: Eukaryota; Metazoa; Chordata; Testudines; Cheloniidae
Source: RefSeq, a predicted model, not a curated record
UUGAGCAGGGGGUUGGACUAGAUGACCUCCUGGGGUCUCUUCCAACCCUAAUCUUCUUUGAUUCUAUGAAAGCUCCCGUACCUCAUGUGCAUAAUGGAAUUGUGCUCCAUAAGGGCUCCCUGAACAGAGGAUCUCAUAGCAGGGCUGGCAGAUCUGCAGUAGUAUGAAUCUGACAACCUCUGCAGGGGUGCUGGGCUAUGUGCAAGGGGCUAUUGGAGCAUUGUAAAAUUACAAUUUAAAAAUAGUUUAAGUGACUGAUCUUUAGUGCCAGGCAUUACAUUUCAACUACAUGUAAACUGUUCUCAGUAGCCACAUGUUUUUUGUUACCCAGUAUUUUUUAGGGUGCCAUGGAACCCCUUGUUCAAUUCACUUCAAAUUUGAUAGAAAAGUUCUACCUCUGCUCCAGGAAGCUCCAGGCUUAAUCAGGGCGGAGUAAGCAGAGUCGAUGGGGGAGGCGCCGCGGUCGACGCGCCGCCAUGAGGACCGCCAGGUAAGUGGAACUAAGAUACUUGGACUUUAGCUAUGCUAUUCACGUAGCUGAAGUUGCGUAUCUUAGUUCGAAUUCCCCCCCUAGUGUAGCCCAGGCCUGACAUUCAGGCAGAUACUUCUUUAUUUGUGUAGUAGAGAGGGAGUGCCAACGUUGGGUUUAAAUUGGAAAUACAGUUAUGCAUCGUCGACUGUGGAAUGGUUAGUACUGCUCCAUAACAGUUCUAGUCAGCCAAACUAAAUAGUCCACAUAAGUUCCCCUUAUGCUGUGUGUAAAUGUAAGAGAUACAGGUGAACCACUAGAAAGAGACUGUUACAGCUCCUCUUGGGAUAAGACAGUAUUUGCUGGGGGGUGGGAGUUUUUUGUUUUUGUUUUUAUUUUUUUGUAUUUUUAAAAGAAUAACCAAAGUUGUUGAAUAUAAAAUCCAGGGGAAAAAAAUAAAAACAGUUUUUGAAAAUUUGA